This 1120-nucleotide ribosomal RNA is filed under the name uncultured organism. Its description in RNAcentral is "bacterial SSU rRNA". It matches the Rfam family "Bacterial small subunit ribosomal RNA", at positions 83 to 1238 of the family's 1533-position model. The record is from RNAcentral.
CGGGAGUAAUCAGCGGCGAACGGGUGAGUAACACGUGGGUGACUUGCCCCGAAGAUGGGGAUAACCUCUGGAAACGGGGGCUAAUACCCAAUGUGCUCGGUGAUUCGGUUCAUCGAGUAAAGCUCCGGCGCUUCGGGAGAGGCCUGCGGCCCAUCAGCUAGUUGGUAGGGUAACGGCCUACCAAGGCAGAGACGGGUAGGGGGCGUGAGAGCGCGGACCCCCACACUGGCACUGAGAUACGGGCCAGACUCCUACGGGAGGCAGCAGUAAGGGAUAUUGCGCAAUGGACGAAAGUCAGACGCAGCGACGCCGCGUGGGCGAUGAAGGCCUUCGGGUUGUAAAGCCCUUUUAUGGGGGAAGAGAAAAAGGACGGUACCCCAGGAAUAAGUCCCGGCUAACUACGUGCCAGCAGCCGCGGUAAAACGUAGGGGACAAGCGUUAUCCGGAUUCACUGGGCGUAAAGAGCGUUGAGGCGGUUCCGUAAGUUGGGCGUGAAAGCUCCGGGCUUAACUCGGAGAUGUCGUUCAAUACUGCGGGGCUUGAGGACAGCAGAGGAAGGUGGAAUUCCCGGUGUAGUGGUGAAAUGCGUAGAUAUCGGGAGGAACACCCGUGGCGAAGGCGGCCUUCUGGGCUGUUCCUGACGCUGAAGGCGAAAGCUAGGGGAGCGAACGGGAUUAGAUACCCCGGUAGUCCUAGCUGUAAACGAUGGAUGCUGGGUGUGGGGGGUGUAAAUUCCCUCUGUGCCGAAGCAAACGCGUUAAGCAUCCCGCCUGGGGACUACGGCCGCAAGGCUAAAACUCAAACGAAUUGACGGGGGCCCGCACAAGCAGCGGAGCGUGUGGUUUAAUUCGAUGCUACACGAAGAACCUUACCUGGGUUUGACAUGCACGUGGUAGGGAACCGAAAGGGGACCGACCUUCGGGAGCGUGCACAGGUGCUGCAUGGCUGUCGUCAGCUCGUGUCGUGAGGUGUCGGGUUAAGUCCCGUAACGAGCGCAACCCUUGCCCUUAGUUACAAGUGUCUAAGGGGACUGCCCGGGACACUGGGAGGGAAGGUGGGGAUGACGUCAAGUCAGCAUGGCCUUUAUAUCCAGGGCUACACACACGCUACAAUGGCCGGU